This 246-nucleotide long non-coding RNA is filed under the name Elaeis guineensis (African oil palm). RNAcentral's name for it is "long non-coding RNA (EGUI_LNC002514)". The record is from RNAcentral. Lineage: Eukaryota; Viridiplantae; Streptophyta; Magnoliopsida; Arecales; Arecaceae.
GUCCUUUCCAAAAUUCUCCUUUCAUUUGUCUCUGCUCUCGAAUUACUACCCCACGAGGCACCGGAUCCUGGACCUUUCCUUGUGAUGAUACAUCAGAGACUUUUCAUGGCUCAACAAAGCAACAAUUAUUGGAAGCCAAUCCACAAUAAUCUACAUCAUUUCAUCAACUAUAACUACACCAUCCCUGAACACCUCUUUCUCACCAUCCAGUGGAAACACUGAGCCUUGCAGUGCCAGUUUGGAUUG